This is a non-coding RNA of Stegodyphus mimosarum, 73 nucleotides long. NCBI's taxonomy places the organism in Eukaryota, Metazoa, Arthropoda, Arachnida, Araneae, Eresidae. The record is from Rfam.
GCCUUCCUGGUGUAAUGGUCAGCACGCUCGACGGAUAACCGAGAGUUCUGUGGUUCGAUUCCUGGCGAAGGCG